Small nuclear RNA from Lactuca sativa (garden lettuce), 119 nucleotides. RefSeq annotates it as U5 spliceosomal RNA. The record is from RefSeq and is a predicted model, not a curated record. NCBI's taxonomy places the organism in Eukaryota, Viridiplantae, Streptophyta, Magnoliopsida, Asterales, Asteraceae.
UGCGACUUGUGAGCACAAGCGAACCAUUAUUUUGCCUUUUUUCUAAAGAAUACCGUGUGCUUGUGAUAUAUAGUGGUAUACACUUAUUUUCAUAGAGUCCCUUCUUAUACUUAAGGGCU